Molecule: ribosomal RNA, 253 nt
Filed under: uncultured bacterium
Lineage: Bacteria
Description: partial 16S ribosomal RNA
Rfam family: Bacterial small subunit ribosomal RNA
Source: RNAcentral
UACGUAGGGUGCAAGCGUUGUCCGGAAUUAUUGGGCGUAAAGAGCUCGUAGGCGGCUUGUCGCGUCGACCGUGAAAACUCGCAGCUCAACUGCGAGCCUGCGGUCGAUACGGGCAGGCUAGAGUUCGGUAGGGGAGACUGGAAUUCCUGGUGUAGCGGUGAAAUGCGCAGAUAUCAGGAAGAACACCUAUGGCGAAGGCAGCUCUCUGGGACGGUACUGACGCUGAGACGCGAAAGCGUGGGGAGCGAACAGG